Long non-coding RNA from Salvelinus fontinalis (brook trout), 306 nucleotides. RefSeq lists it as uncharacterized. The transcript has 4 exons. NCBI's taxonomy places the organism in Eukaryota, Metazoa, Chordata, Actinopteri, Salmoniformes, Salmonidae. The record is from RefSeq and is a predicted model, not a curated record.
GUCGUGUGUGUUCUACUCACCACUAGUUCCAGCAGGUCAGAGGUAGUGUGUUCUACUCACCACUAGAUCCAGCAGGUCAGAGGUAGUGUGUUCUACUCACCACUAGAUCCAGCAGGUCAGAGGUAGUGUGUGUUCUACUCACCACUAGUUCCAGCAGGUCAGAGGUAGUGUGUGUUCUACUCACCACUAGUUCCAGCAGGUCAGAGGUAGUGUGUUCUACUCACCACUAGUUCCAGCAGGUCAGAGGUAGUGUGUUCUACUCACCACUAGUUCCAGCAGGUCAGAGGUAGUGUGUUCUACUCACCA